This 253-nucleotide ribosomal RNA is filed under the name uncultured bacterium. RNAcentral describes it as "partial 16S ribosomal RNA". It matches the Rfam family "Bacterial small subunit ribosomal RNA", at positions 524 to 776 of the family's 1533-position model. The record is from RNAcentral.
UACAGAGGUCUCAAGCGUUGUUCGGAUUCAUUGGGCGUAAAGGGUGCGUAGGCGGCGCGGUAAGUCGGAUGUGAAAUCUCGGGGCUUAACUCCGAAACUGCAUUCGAUACUGCCGUGCUUGAGGACUGGAGAGGAGAGUGGAAUUCCUGGUGUAGCGGUGAAAUGCGCAGAUAUCAGGAAGAACACCCGUGGCGAAAGCGGCUCUCUGGAACGGUACUGACGCUGAGACGCGAAAGCGUGGGGAGCGAACAGG